AACGAACGCUGGCGGCAUGCCUAACACAUGCGAGUCGAACGGGACCUUCGGGUCUAGUGGCGCACGGGUGCGUAACGCGUGGGAACCUGCCCUUAGGUUCGGAAUAACUCCCCGAAAGGGGUGCUAAUACCGGAUAAUGUCUUCGGACCAAAGAUUUAUCGCCUUUGGAUGGGCCCGCGUUGGAUUAGCUAGUUGGUAGGGUAAAAGCCUACCAAGGCGACGAUCCAUAGCUGGUCUGAGAGGAUGAUCAGCCACACUGGGACUGAGACACGGCCCAGACUCCUACGGGAGGCAGCAGUGGGGAAUAUUGGACAAUGGGCGAAAGCCUGAUCCAGCAAUGCCGCGUGAGUGAUGAAGGCCUUAGGGUUGUAAAGCUCUUUUACCCGGGAUGAUAAUGACAGUACCGGGAGAAUAAGCACCGGCUAACUCCGUG
RNAcentral lists this ribosomal RNA (433 nucleotides) under uncultured bacterium. RNAcentral describes it as "partial 16S ribosomal RNA". It matches the Rfam family "Bacterial small subunit ribosomal RNA", at positions 29 to 507 of the family's 1533-position model. The record is from RNAcentral.